This 344-nucleotide unclassified non-coding RNA is filed under the name soil metagenome. Its description in RNAcentral is "partial contains 5.8S ribosomal RNA, internal transcribed spacer 2, and large subunit ribosomal RNA". The stretch from base 1 to 119 matches the Rfam family "5.8S ribosomal RNA", at positions 35 to 154 of the family's 154-position model. The record is from RNAcentral.
GAUGAAAACGUAGUGAAAUGCGAUAAGUAAUGUGAAUUGCAGAAUUCCGUGAAUCAUCGAAUCUUUGAACGCACAUUGCGCCCUCUGGUAUUCCGGGGGGCAUGCCUGUCCGAGCGUCAUUUGCAACCCUCAAGCCCGGCUUGUGUGAUGGGUGCCGUCCCCUACGGGACGCGCCCCGAAGGCAAUGGCGGCGUCGCGGUUAUCCGAUCAGCCAAAGUGUAUGGGGCUUUGUCACUCACUUUACGGCCCGGACCGGCGCCAGUCCGAAUCAAUCUUUUUUCUAAAGUUGACCUCGGAUCAGGUAGGGAUACCCGCUGAACUUAAGCAUAUCAAUAAGCGGAGGA